AUUGAACGCUGGCGGCAUGCCUUACACAUGCAAGUCGAACGGCAGCACGGGUGCUUGCACCUGGUGGCGAGUGGCGAACGGGUGAGUAAUACAUCGGAACAUGUCCUGUAGUGGGGGAUAGCCCGGCGAAAGCCGGAUUAAUACCGCAUACGAUCUACGGAUGAAAGCGGGGGACCUUCGGGCCUCGCGCUAUAGGGUUGGCCGAUAGCUGAUUAGCUAGUUGGUGGGGUAAAGGCCUACCAAGGCGACGAUCAGUAGCUGGUCUGAGAGGACGACCAGCCACACUGGGACUGUGACACGGCCCAGACUCCUACGGGAGGCAGCAGUGGGGAAUUUUGGACAAUGGGCGAAAGCCUGAUCCAGCAAUGCCGCGUGUGUGAAGAAGGCCUUCGGGUUGUAAAGCACUUUUGUCCGGAAAGAAAUCCUUGGCUCUAAUACAGUCGGGGGAUGACGGUACCGGAAGAAUAAGCACCGGCUAACUACGUG
RNAcentral lists this ribosomal RNA (486 nucleotides) under uncultured bacterium. RNAcentral's name for it is "partial 16S ribosomal RNA". It matches the Rfam family "Bacterial small subunit ribosomal RNA", at positions 30 to 507 of the family's 1533-position model. The record is from RNAcentral.